This 253-nucleotide ribosomal RNA is filed under the name uncultured bacterium. Its description in RNAcentral is "partial 16S ribosomal RNA". It matches the Rfam family "Bacterial small subunit ribosomal RNA", at positions 524 to 776 of the family's 1533-position model. The record is from RNAcentral.
UACGUAGGGCGCAAGCGUUGUCCGGAAUUAUUGGGCGUAAAGAGCUCGUAGGCGGCUUGUCACGUCGGUUGUGAAAUCCCUGGGCUCAACCUGGGAACUGCUUCCGAGACUGUACGACUCGAGAUCGGUAGAGGGCGGUGGAAUUUCCGGUGUAGCGGUGAAAUGCGUAGAUAUCGGAAGGAACACCAAUGGCGAAGGCAGCCGCCUGGGCCUGAUCUGACACUGAGACACGAAAGCGUGGGGAUCAAACAGG